CCUGUCCAGCGAUACUGGGUGGGAGAGCGAGUGGGAGCGUGGGAGGGGGGCGCUUCCAGCAGGAGGGCACUGCCUCCCAGCGCUUGGUACAAUGCUGAGGGACUCUCCCCCCUCCCAGGUCAGAGUCGGCUUACUCUUACGGUAUCGUGCGGCCACGUCAGACUUGCAUACCACACGCUGCUGGGUUUUUCAGUUGCCCUGAAAGGAAAUCACCCAGGUGCAUCCCGGUGUGGAAGGCCAGGCCGGGCUUUGAUUUGGAUGUGGCAAGGUGUCUGCUGUGUAAGCCUGGUGGGCUAGAGGUACAAUGCAGAG
RNAcentral lists this long non-coding RNA (312 nucleotides) under Dasypus novemcinctus (nine-banded armadillo). RNAcentral's name for it is "lncRNA (ENSDNOG00000051396.1)". The record is from RNAcentral. Lineage: Eukaryota; Metazoa; Chordata; Mammalia; Cingulata; Dasypodidae.